RNAcentral lists this long non-coding RNA (1236 nucleotides) under Pogona vitticeps (central bearded dragon). Its description in RNAcentral is "lncRNA (ENSPVIG00000006358.1)". The record is from RNAcentral. Lineage: Eukaryota; Metazoa; Chordata; Lepidosauria; Squamata; Agamidae.
UAAUUAGUAACAAAGUUAACAAAUUGACAAAUCAAAUCAGAUAAACAAUCAAACAAACAAACCGUAACAUAGUAAGCGCAAUGAAAUUAAGUUAAAUUGAUAACAUAAGCAACUAAAAAUUAACACUUAGAAAAGGGGAGAGACAAAAUAGAAUACCGCCCCCCCCAGAUCAUAUAUGCCUCGGUCAUGUCCAGAGACAGUUCCAGGCCUCCAGCCGAGAUGGGACUGUGUUUGCUGCCACUGAGACCAGGUUGGGGCCUUUGGGACUUCCUUGAUGCAGAUCUUGUACAUCACCACUGCCGGACCCAUCGUAGUUACUGUGCUCUCCUUUAGCUGGUUCCGAACUCUUCAUCCACAUUGGGACCAGGGUGUGAUGACCAGCUUGCUGUUAUCAGCGUGGGAGCCUGUAGUCCUGAGUUUCGAGGAGCAAAGCACAGCACAGAACGGAGGGUGGAAACAAGCGGCAAGCAGAAGGCUCCAGGAAGUGGGAAACCUCAGCAAGCCCCACUCCAGAAAGUGGGGAAGCCCCAGCAAGAGAGACACCAGGAGGCUCCAGUGGAAGCAACAGCCAGGCAGGAUGUUGGAUGAAGGCCUAAGAACUCAUUCAGAAAAACAGGCUUGAUGUCUACAUGAAAGCAGUGCACUUUCAAGACUGAUUUGUCUUGCAUCAUACAGAUUGUUAUGAUGGCAAAAAUUGGGAAGUAUCCUGCAAAACUGUUUGUAUGUAGAAGAUGCCAGUUAUGUGUGUAGCUGUGUGAUCAGCACCUUGCAAAUGUGACUGUCACAACUUCUUUUCCACACACAGACAAUCCAACAGAUUCUGUGGCUAUUUUAUUUAGCUGACUUACAGUGUCAGAAAUUCAAUUAAUCACAUACUGACUUGUCAGCUGAACACUGGUGCAUGGAUCUUUUGCUCAGGCAAGGAAGCACUAUCAAGGAGAAUCUCUGCACGCGUCUCCUAAGCCUAACAUCUCCCUUGUGCUGAUUCCAGCAGUCCUACAUUUUGCAGAAAUCUUCCAAGUCAGCAAGAUAUUGAGGAAAUUACCCACAGUCACAGCAUACAGAAUGCCUCUCAUCUCUGCACAGAGGCUUGGAAACAGACACUCUGAAAGCAGUCAAGACUUCUUGGUCAUUUCUGAAAGGGCAUCCAGACGGGCAUAUAGUUCACUACUUAGAUUAUUUUUGGAGAGGUUUGGUUAGAAUAAAAUUAGUGUCCAUACGUGUUUUGACUUAUGA